UUCAUUCAGAGCAAGAGGAUAGAUACAUUAUACAAGGUGGAGACUGACUUGACUAUUGAUCAUAUUGAGUUCUGUAUCUUUGUGGGUAACACUUUAUUUGAACCUAUUUAACAUUUAUAAGCACUAAAUAAACAAUAAAUUAUAACACACUGUAAUGUAGCUGUAAGCAAUUAUAAAGACAUUUAAAGUGUUCAUUAAUGUUUUUGUCAACAAUAAUAAUUCCUCAUAUGAAGAAUCCAUUACUGCUGUAUUAACAGUUAAUGAAUGCUUGGUAACACUACACACAAACAUUCAUACCGUGUGUUAGAAAGCAUUUAUUAAGUGUUUAUACACAUGCAGGUGGGUUUUUAAUUAUAUUAUUCAUUCAUUAGCUUUUUUACAUUUUUUAACUUUGCAUUUUGCAUGUCAACAGUUACAGCUGUCAAAAUCAACAUUAAGUCAACAGAGGGUCAAGCAAUGUGACAAAACAAAAAUCAAAUUAAAUAAAAAAUUAAUUAAUAAAUAAACACAAAAAGCUAAGUCCAGAGAUCGUGUGCAGAAAAGUUCUAUGACAGAUAUAACUCAAAAUCAUUUAUAAUUUAAAUGCUAAUUUGAAAUCAGUUAGAAGUCUAUUUAUGUAGCACAGUCAUUGUGGAAUGGGUGGGAAUUUUAGCUGAGCACAUUUAGUUUUUUUACAUAUUGUAGGAGCUGGAGCGCCGCUAAGGGGGGGGGGGCAUGGCCCCCCUGAUACAAUUGCUUGCCCCCCCUCGUGAGUCACAUAUGCAUAAUAUGCUUCUGAGUAAUGAGUACUGUAUGCAUAUAUGCUUCUAUCUGAUAAUUUACAUUAGGUACUAUUCAUUUAAAUCAAGAAUGUAUAUUUUUCAUAAUAGUUCAUGAAAACGUUCUGGGGGCGGCACUUUGUAGGAGUACAUUUGCACUUAAUGAUGUCAUCUGGACAUUACUUCCUAUUUUACAGUAGAGCCUUGUUGACUUGCUAUAGAUAAUAUUCACCCCGAAACUUGAGAAUGUCCUUCAAAUGAUUAGAAGAAACCAGCUUAUUUAUUACAUACAUGCUUAGCUAUAUUACAAAUCCGUCUGCGAUCACAUUCUGAAUCACCUAAUAUCAUUUCGCAGAGUAAGACAUGUAGGCUACCUUCAGCUUUUGUCACUGUACUUGUGUAAUUUCUUCACCAAUUAUUCUGACCUAAGGAAAAUCUAACUGCAGCAGCAGUAGCCGAUCUAUAAAGUCGUCUCUCUCCAUGUUGUAAUACUUUGAAGGAUUCCGUUCAUCAUUGUACAAGUCCAAGCAUGUUUCCCUCUGUUUAGCGCUACUCAUCUUUGUAAUUUCACUUUACGCUGUUGUGCUGUUUAUUGUACUGUUGGGGUGUCGUGCAAAAAUAAUUCAAAGCAGAAGAACAAAUAGUUCUAAGUCAGUACUGUGGCUUAGUGAUUUCCCUCCUAAACACUAAUUUGUACAAAUGUGGUUAGCAAACCUGUUUUGAAUGUAUCACUCGAUUGAAUGGACGUUAUCAGUGGUUAUCAGCCUCAUAGAUAUGGGUUAGAAGGGGCCUGCUACACCUACUGGUAGGUUCAGAAGGCCGUUAUCAUCUGUUCACGUGUUUGAUCACGAUACGAAUACAAGAAGACUCCAGAUCCAGUCCAAGAGGAAUCCAGCUCACCGCUAAACCUGAAGUCUGGUGGAUAACGUGGUAUUUUCAGGUUCCAUCGAUUUUCAGGAAGCAUGUGAUCCCUCUUGACCUGUCUACUUCUGCUUUGAUGAGACUAUUGAAGAAGAUGAAGUUUCGAGGAGUCUGAUUGAUGCCUUCCAUAUGAAGACUCCGACAGCUGAGGAAAAGCUCAUGCUUUACCAGGAAAUGAGAAUUAUUACUGACCACCUCCAUCAGCAGCAUGCCUUUCUGUGCUGUGUCAUCAAUGACACAGCACAGCUCAUCCAAAGUCUCAAACCUCUGGAAAGAAAGCUACAUCACGGCGCUGUGAUGGUUCACCAACGCAUGGUUACAUCACCCCAGACUGUCUCAGGCCCUCCUCAUGUCAAGCAUACAGACGCUGGUAUACAAUGAUGAUGGUGAUCAUCAUCAUGAUCACGAUGAUGAGGAUGACAAUGAUAGCAGCUAGGACUGUAAGCACUCAUUCGGGAUUUUUAAUGAAUAAUUUGAGCCAGCUUGUAUGUUUUGUUAUUUAUCAUCCUCCUUGAUUCAGUGCAAACCAAAAUAAAUCUAACUCAGACAGUUUAGGUUCUGUGCGUGUUUUCAUUGUAACUGGUCAGUCUUAAUUUAUGCUGUGUUGCUGAUCACUUGAUUAGUCUAACAGCAACAAAGUCCAUGUUUGUUUUUUUCAAAACACUUGGUUUAAACUUGCUCUUUUUGGACAAUAAACACUGUUUUUGUAGAAGUUGUUGACUCAGUGACUUUCUAAAGCCUUGUAGUGCUCAAGGUAUAACCAGCAUUGCUAUUAUGAAUAACCUUACAAUUAACACUAACCACAUCAGCACACCAUGUUUUUGUAAAAAGGACACAUUUGUGAAAGAGGGCUUGCCCUCAGUAUGUUUUCAAUGUGUAAAUGAAGGUUACUGCUACAAUACACUCAAUUUCAGUUCGGGAAAUGAAAAGGAACAGACAGGUGUAUUGACAGCUUUCCCACGAUGAGUUAUAGCCACGAUUUCAGCCAUUGUCACGGCAGUUGUUCACAGCACACGUGAGAAAUUAAUAAAAAAGUAAAUUACUUAAUAGAUUACUUAUUAUACAGUGAUUUUACAGUCAUAAUCAGCCAUAGGUUUUUUUUUCCCUCUUCCCAUUGGCUGCUUUCGGUGUAAACCCUCGGGAUGUUCGACUCCUGGUUUGGCUAAAAUAUCUUAAAUAAACCAACAUCUUUACUUUUUCUUAACAUAGAUCAUCUAGAUGCAGUGUAACCAGUAGUUCGGCUGUACUAGAUAUUUGAUAUAUUCAGUAGAUAUAUCUUUUUACAACCGUAUUUACAACCUUACUUUGCAAACUGGAAGAACUACAACUGUGGUGCUGAUUUGUAUCAAGCUGCAUGGCGCGGCUCUAGGGAAUUGUAGUUUUUAUAAUACUGAAUUUAGAGUACACUGGGGAGUUUAAGGGGGUGAUUAACCCAUUUGUGUAAUCCGAUUUUAAAUAUCUAAUUGUUAAAUGGGUGAAAAUGUAUUUUAACCAUAUUUCAGAUCUGACAGUGCCCCCAGUUGUUGACUAUACUCACAUGAUGGCUGAGGUCAAAGCUCUCUGUAACAGUUGGUCCCAUGUAUGUAGCCCCUUUUGUUGCUGGAUUACAAGCCUUCAAACAUGCACCGAGGUCAAGGUUCAAAUGUCAGUAUUUCAAAGCAGGAGCCAUGAAGAAUCUUCAUGCUGACAUAUGUUAUGUGUUGUCUCCCAAAAAACGCAACACAGAAGAAUAAAAAUAGACGAAGGUUAGGCAAUAAUAUGAAUAAUGAAAUAAACAAAGUAAUAUUAAAAUUAAAUUGAAAUUUAAAAAAAAAUCUAUUUACAGAAUGGAAUAGUGAUAGUUUUGAAAUGGGAUAUAAAAGUUGUAAUUAAAUACUGACUGUACAAAAGAAAUAUGGAUUGUGCCAAGGACAGAAGUUCACUUUUGGGGACAUUACAUAGACUUACAUCCAUUUCCUGGAGACUUACCCUCACUCUAACCUCUAACCCCUAAACCUUAACCACUGACCCAAAAAUCAGCUUUUUCCCAAUUUGGGACAAGGGUUUUGGCCCCAAUUGGUCAAGCCACCCCCCAAUUCACUGGUCUUCAGUCUGAAAAGUGUCCCUGAAGGUAGCCUAAGUCAGACGCACACACACACACACACAAGCACACAACGUUGGAAGGAAGACUUAAGAAAGGGGAUUUCAUAUUAAAUAUCCUCAGCCACAUAUUCUUGGAAAUACAAAAUUAAAUGAGCAACUUUACAUUUUACAAUCACAGGAUAUAAAACGCCCUUCCGUCACAGAGACAGUGGCGUUUGGACUCAGGUUACGGCCGACCGGCAGCUAUUUGAAACGGAAUGAAGCCCAAACGGGAGUCGAACGCGCCAAGGCCGCCCACAACACAGCGUUCUCCACAUGCGUAGCAGCGUCCAUAGCAACCACAAUAGCAACGAUCUGGCCUGAAAGAAUCUUCGUAAGGAUCAUAGGCAUUCAGUGCACGAAUAUUAGGACAAUAAAAUGCACAGAUCUAGAAAUGUUCUAAAAACGCAUUUUAAUGCCGAAACUAUCUUAAAAUAUUGCAUUUUGCACUGAGAAUAAAAGGAAUGUCCGCCAUUUUUUUUUUGGUUGUUUUCACGGAAAGAAACUUGGCAGUCACGUGCCGUCACGCCAUUUUUACCUGUUCCAUCCAAUGGAAAUGAUCUCCGCCGCCUGCGGUCCACCGGGAGCUAGCCUCAGUAACUAAAGAAAUUAGCCCAUGUGAACAGAUGCUAACGGCCUCUGAACCCGGGCCCGGAGCAGGCCGCGUCUAACCCGUCUCUACGAGGCUGACAGGCGCAGAUCUGUAUUCAUCAGCUUUCCUGUGUUGUUUCUUUCACUUUAUUUUCAUCUGUCACCUUAUUCACCUUACCCCCC
Molecule: long non-coding RNA, 4574 nt
Organism: Siniperca chuatsi (mandarin fish)
Lineage: Eukaryota; Metazoa; Chordata; Actinopteri; Centrarchiformes; Sinipercidae
Exons: 3
Source: RefSeq, a predicted model, not a curated record